RNAcentral lists this ribosomal RNA (301 nucleotides) under uncultured bacterium. RNAcentral's name for it is "partial 16S ribosomal RNA". It matches the Rfam family "Bacterial small subunit ribosomal RNA", at positions 509 to 807 of the family's 1533-position model. The record is from RNAcentral.
CAGUAGCCACGGGAAUACGAAGGGUGCAAGCGUUACUCGGAAUUACUGGGCGUAAAGCGUGUGUAGGUGGUUGUUUAAGUCUGUCGUGAAAGCCCUGGGCUCAACCUGGGAAUUGCGAUGGAUACUGGGCGACUAGAGUGCGGUAGAGGAUAGUGGAAUUUCCGGUGUAGCAGUGAAAUGCGUAGAGAUCGGAAGGAACAUCUGUGGCGAAGGCGACUAUCUGGGCCAACACUGACGCUGAGGAGCGAAAGCAUGGGGAGCGAACAGGAUUAGAUACCCGCGUAGUCCCUGUCUCUUAUAC